Molecule: transfer RNA, 86 nt
Organism: Suillus luteus
Lineage: Eukaryota; Fungi; Basidiomycota; Agaricomycetes; Boletales; Suillaceae
Rfam family: tRNA
About the family: Transfer RNA (tRNA) molecules are approximately 80 nucleotides in length. Their secondary structure includes four short double-helical elements and three loops (D, anti-codon, and T loops).
Source: Rfam
GGACCCGUGGCACAGUGGUAGCGCGUGAGAUUCCAGAGCUUUGGCUUGUAUCCUCAAGGUCAUCCGUUCAAUCCGGGUCGGGUUCA